Molecule: long non-coding RNA, 352 nt
Organism: Lonchura striata (white-rumped munia)
Lineage: Eukaryota; Metazoa; Chordata; Aves; Passeriformes; Estrildidae
Source: RefSeq, a predicted model, not a curated record
CAACAGGCACCGGGCACGGGGGCUGGCAAUGGGCAUGGCACGCUGGGAGACGGGGCACGGCACACCGAGCAGCGGGCAGCAGUAUCCGGUGUAAGCCCUCGCUGCUGGGUGGUGGCAGCUGGUUAUUCAUGAGCCUCUUGGAUGUGCCACUGGCCACCAGCACCUGCUGUGCACGGAGAGGGGUGGCACCCAGGAUCCCCCCCGUGCUUGUGUCCCCUUUGCUGACACCCAGCUUUGGCCAAGGCGACGUGUGCAGAUAUUUUAAGAGGAAGACUCUGUGCUCUCACAGCUUGACUGCUAAUUUAUAAUCCUGUUUUCCUAUUAAAAUAAAAGCCUCUCUCUUAUUCCCGAA